ACGCUGGCUACAGGCUUAACACAUGCAAGUCGAGGGGAAACGACGGGGAAGCUUGCUUCCUUGGGCGUCGACCGGCGCACGGGUGAGUAACGCGUAUCCAACCUGCCUCUGACUGAGGGAUAACCCGUCGAAAGUCGGCCUAAUACCUCAUGGCAUCGUCUGCGGGCAUCCAACGACGAUUAAAGAUUUCAUCGGUCAGGGAUGGGGAUGCGUCUGAUUAGCUGGUUGGCGGGGUAACGGCCCACCAAGGCUACGAUCAGUAGGGGUUCUGAGAGGAAGGUCCCCCACAUUGGAACUGAGACACGGUCCAAACUCCUACGGGAGGCAGCAGUGAGGAAUAUUGGUCAAUGGGCGAGAGCCUGAACCAGCCAAGUAGCGUGCAGGAAGACGGCCCUAUGGGUUGUAAACUGCUUUUAUGCGGGGAUAAAGUGAGGGACGUGUCCUUCAUUGCAGGUACCGCAUGAAUAAGGACCGGCUAAUUCCGUGCCAGCAGCCGCGGUAAUACGGAAGGUCCUGGCGUUAUCCGGAUUUAUUGGGUUUAAAGGGAGCGUAGGCCGUGGAUUAAGCGUGUUGUGAAAUGCAGGUGCUCAACGUCUGCACUGCAGCGCGAACUGGUCCACUUGAGUGUGCGCAACGCAGGCGGAAUACGUCGUGUAGCGGUGAAAUGCUUAGAUAUGACGAAGAACUCCGAUUGCGAAGGCAGCUUGCGGGAGCACAACUGACGCUGAAGCUCGAAAGUGCGGGUAUCGAACAGGAUUAGAUACCCUGGUAGUCCGCACGGUAAACGAUGGAUGCCCGUUGUCAGGCUGUUUCAGCCUGGUGACCAAGCGAAAGCAUUAAGCAUCCCACCUGGGGAGUACGCCGGCAACGGUGAAACUCAAAGGAAUUGACGGGGGCCCGCA
Molecule: ribosomal RNA, 902 nt
Filed under: uncultured bacterium
Lineage: Bacteria
Description: bacterial SSU rRNA
Rfam family: Bacterial small subunit ribosomal RNA
Source: RNAcentral